GACGAACGCUGGCGGCGUGCCUAAUACAUGCAAGUUGAGCGCUGAAGGUUGGUACUUGUACCAACUGGAUGAGCAGCGCACGGGUGAGUAACGCGUGGGGAAUCUGCCUUUGAGCGGGGGACAACAUUUGGAAACGAAUGCUAAUACCGCAUAAAAACUUUAAACACAAGUUUUAAGUUUGAAAGAUGCAAUUGCAUCACUCAAAGAUGAUCCCGCGUUGUAUUAGCUAGUUGGUGAGGUAAAGGCUCACCAAGGCGAUGAUACAUAGCCGACCUGAGAGGGUGAUCGGCCACAUUGGGACUGAGACACGGCCCAAACUCCUACGGGAGGCAGCAGUAGGGAAUCUUCGGCAAGAGACGAAAGUCUGACCGAGCAACGCCGCGGGAGGGAAGAAGGUUUUCGGAUCGUAAAACUCUGUUGGUAGAGAAGAACGUUGGUGAGAGUGGAAAGCUCAUCAAGUGACGGUAACUACCCAGAAAGGGACGGCUAACUACGUG
RNAcentral lists this ribosomal RNA (497 nucleotides) under uncultured bacterium. RNAcentral describes it as "partial 16S ribosomal RNA". It matches the Rfam family "Bacterial small subunit ribosomal RNA", at positions 28 to 507 of the family's 1533-position model. The record is from RNAcentral.